RNAcentral lists this transfer RNA (70 nucleotides) under Anguloclavus sp. 2 MNHN IM 2013-9661. RNAcentral describes it as "tRNA-Arg". Lineage: Eukaryota; Metazoa; Mollusca; Gastropoda; Neogastropoda; Drilliidae. The record is from RNAcentral.
GUACAAAAAGUAAAACAUUUACAUUCGGUUUCGACCCGUUUCUUUGGGGGUAUAAGUCCCUCUUUGUACU